CACACACACCCCAUGACGGACAGACAGACACACACACACACCCCAUGACGGACAGACACACACACACACCCCAUGACGGACAGAGACACACACACACACACCAUGAUGGAAAGAUAGACACACACACACACCCCAUGACGGACAGAUAGACACACACACCCCAUGACGGAAAGACAGACACACACACACCCCAUGACGGACAGACACACACACACACACCCCAUGACGGAAAGAGAGACACACACACACCCCAUGACGGACAAAUAGACACACACACACCCCAUGAUGGACAGACAGACA
This is a non-coding RNA of Pelobates cultripes (western spadefoot toad), 300 nucleotides long. The record is from the annotation of a GenBank genome assembly. NCBI's taxonomy places the organism in Eukaryota, Metazoa, Chordata, Amphibia, Anura, Pelobatidae.